CCUACCCCAAUUAAAUGUUUUCACAAAUUGUCUGCUCCUAUUCCUCUUCAGCACUAUGGUAAAGGAGACAGAGUUGUGAUCACUACCUCCAAAUUGCUCUCCCACUGAGAGAUCUGACACCUGACCAGAUUCAUUUCCCAAUACCAAAUCAAGUACAGCCUCUCCUCUAGUUGGCUUAUCUACAUAUUGUGUCAGGAAAACUUCCUAAACACACCUAACAAACUCCACCCCAGCUAAACCCCUUGCUUUAAGGAGAUGCCAGUCAAUACUAAGAAAAUUAAAUUUUCCCAUCACAACAACCCUAUUAUUAUUGCACCGUUCCAGAAUCUGCCUCCCUAUCUGCUCCUCGAUAUCCCUGUUACUACUGCAGAGCCUAUUAAAAAAUUCCAGUAGAAUUAAUGCCCCUUUCCUGAGUAGACAAUCUCUCCAUGACUUCCUCCUUUUCUGCAGCUGUGAUACUAUCCCUGAUUAGUAAUGCCACUCCCCCACAUCUUUUGCCUCCCUCCCUGUUCUUUUUGAAACAUCUAAAGCCCGGCACACUCAGCAGCCAUUCCUGCCCCUGAGUCACCCAAGUCUCUGUCAUGGCCACAUAUUGAUCCACACUUUAAGUUCACCCACCUUUCCCAUGAUCGUCCUGACAUUAAAAUAGACACAUUUCAAAUCAUCUGGCUGAGCGCUCCUUUGCUCUAUCAUCUGCCUAUCCUUCCUCAUAAACUCCCUACAAGUUGUCACUACUUGUGCACCAACCACCCCAUCCUCUGCCUCUUCACUUCAGUUCUCAAACCCUUGCAAACCUCUUUUAAACCCUCUCUCGCAGUAUUAGCAAACCUCCCUCCCGGGAUAUUGGUCCCCCUCCAGUUCAGGUGCAGCCCGUCCCAUUGGUACAGGUCACCCCUACCCCAAAAAGGAUUCCGAUGAUCCAAGAACUUGAAACCCUGCCCCCUGCACCAUCUCCUCAGCCACUCAUUCAUCUGUGUUAUCUUCCUGUUCUGACCUUCACUAGCUCGUGCCACUGGGAGUAAUCCGGAGAUUACUACCUUGGAGGUCCUGCUCUUCAGCCUCCUUCCUAACUCCCUAAACUUACUGUUCAGGACCUCUACCCCUCUCCUGCUCAAGCUCCCCUUUAAGAAUAUUCUGCGACAGCUAUGAGAUAUCCUGGACCCUAGCACCCAGGAGGCAACACACUAUCCUAGUGUCUCUUUUGCUGAUCUCCUGUAAGUCCCCCUAAUUAUCGAGUCCGCUUUGACUAUUGCUCGGCCUGGCUUCACCCUUCCCUUCUGAGGCUCUGAGCCGACCACAGUGCUGUUGGUCUGGCUGCUGCUGCCUUGCCCGGACAGGUCUCCCCCCUCAUCAGUUUCCAAAGGGGUAUAUCUGUUACUGAAGGGAAUAGCCACAAGGGGACCCUACACUGACUUCCUUCUCCUUUUUCCUCUCUCGGUGUUCACCCAUCUACUCCCCAAAUUCUGCUCACUGGGUGUAACCAGCUGCUCAAAAGUUGUAUCUAUCAAUUGCUCUGUCUCUCGGAUGAUCUGUAGUUCAUCCAACUCCAUCUCCAGCUCCUUAAUGUGGUCUUUCAGGAGCUGGAGUUGGCUGCACUUCCUGCAGGUGUAGUCAUCAAGGAGACAAUCAGGUCCCACAUCCUACAGGAGGAGCAUUCCACUAUCAUAUCUGCCAUCCUGCCUGCACUGUACAACCAAGACCAAAACCUCUAACCUGAUAAUAAGGCCUCAACCUCUUCUCAUUGAAGGCUCUUGAGUCAAAGCCUGACGCUCCUGCUCUCACCGCUCGUCUGCUCACACCAAUGGCUGCCCUGCUUGCCCCAUCUGCACUUUUAUUUAAUUUACUGUGCUCUGCUCCCAACACUGAUUGGACCUCUGGGAUGUCCGAAUACCUGCAAAGCUCUCCUUUUAUACUAGCUUCGUUGACCUGCGAGUAAACUCUUCAAAGUGCUCUGCUCCCAAUGCUGAUUGGACCUCUGGUUCAGAGGAGGAGGAGGUUUAUAAGAAUGAUUCAGAGAAUGAAAGGCUUGUCGAAUGAAGAGUGAUUGAUAGCUCUGGGUCUUUACUCAGUGGAAUUUAGAAGAAUGAGGGGGAUCUCAUUAAAACUUAUCAAAUGUUGAAAGGCCAAGAUAGAGUGGACAUGGAGAGGAUGUUUCUGUUAGUGGGGGAGUCUAGAACCAGAGGGCACAGCCUCAGAAUAGAGGGACAUCUGUUUAGAUCGGAGAUGAAGAGGAAUUUCUUUGUCCAGAGUAUAUCAGUAGAAUUCAUUGCCACAGGCAACAGUGGGGGUAUGUAAGGCAGAGGUUAAUAUGUUCUUGAUGAGUCAAGGGGUGAAAGAUUAUGUGGAGGUAAAGGAAAGGAGUAGAUAACAUGGAUGUGGAGAGGAUGUUUCCUCUUGAGGGGUUAUCCAGAAUGAGAGGGCACAGGGUCAAAAUUGAGGGGUGACCUUUCAGAACAGAAAUAAGGAGAAACUUUUUUAGCCAUAGAGUUGUGAAUCUGUGGAAAGCUCAGCCACAGACUACGGUGGAGAUCAAGUCCAUGGGUACAUUCAAAGUGGAAGUUGAUGGAUUCCUGAUUGAUCAGUGCAUCCAAGGGAUAUGGUGAGAGGGCAGGUGUAUGGGGUUGAAUGGGAUCUGGGAUCAGCCAUGAUGAAAUAGCAGAGCAGACUCAAAGGACCAAAUGGCCUAAUUCUUCUCCUAUAUCUUAUGGUCUUAUAGAGAAGGCAGGAGAAUGGGGUUGAAAAGGAAAUGGAUCAGCCAUGAUGAAAUAGCAGAGCAGACUCAAAGGACCAAAUGGCCUAAUUCUUCUCCUAUAUCUUAUGGUAUUAUGAUCUUAUAGUCUGUAUCAAUGGUGUUCAGAUGAACAAAGCUGAAAGCUUCAAGUUCUGAAAUGCAAAUAUCACAAACAAUUUGUCCUGGUCUAGCCAUAUGGAUAAGUCACCUGGGCCAGAUGGACCACAUCCCAGAGUCCCGAGGGAGGUUGCUGAAGAGAUAACAGAUGCAUUGGUCAUGAUCUUUCAAGAAUCACCUGAUUCUGGCAUGGUCCCAGAGGACUGGAAGAUUGCAAAUGUCGCUUUAUUCUUUAAGAAGGGAGGAAGACUAAAGAAAGGAAAUUAUUGGUCAGUUAGCCUAACCUUAGUGGUUGGGAAAGUGUUGGAGUAUAUUAUUAAGAAUGAGAUUUCAGGGUACUUGGAGAUUAAUGGUAAAAUAAAUCAAAGUCAGCACGGUUUCUGUAGAGGCAAAUCUUGCUUGACAAAUCUGUUAGAGUUCUUCGAGGAAGUUCUUCGGGUAGGCGGAGCAAAGUUAAGAUGGUGCUAACCGGCGACUCUUUUGCUUGCAUCUUCUGAAACAGCUCUAUUUCCCUCUUUAAUAUCUUUAUUUUUCCCUUUCAGGGUUCUUUUGGGACCUGGUCUCGUGAUAUAGGGACUGGCUGUUGUUCGGCACGCCAAGAGUUUGACCUGAGGGUCCGACUCGAAUUCAGAAGCUUAAGAUCUCAGGGGUCUGGAGACGGGCAGAUCAAGGGUCAGUGUCAUGGCAGGAGACCCGUGUGUCAAAGGGGGAGUCGGGGUAUCUGCUGUGGGCCCGAAGACCCAGGAUCUUUGCAAUCUUCAGGCACAGAGCUCAAAAAAAAGUGACAUAACGGACUUCCAACAUCGUAAACCAGCGAGUUGUUUGUUAUGUCUCCCUGCCCGCUGGGAAAACAGAGACACCUCUUUCUCCCUGAUUAGGGAGAGAGAGAGAACCUGCGAUAUGUUGGAUGCCAGGUGAAAUGUGGUCUUUAAGGCAGAAGAUACAGAAGUUUGAGGACAUGUGCGACCAGGAUCAAAGACAACUUCAUUCUGCUGUUACAAGACUCCUGAAUGGACCUCUUGUACAAUGAAGACAUACCCACCAUUUUCAGACCUUUCAGCCAGAGGCAUCGGACCUAUUUCCCAAAUUUCUGCCUGGAGUUCAAGGUCCCAUUGAAGCUCAAAGGUUGAUCAUUAGUCCUGAAGCCAAAACCCAGUGAGUGCAGACUAGAAACUGAAGGUCUGGAGAUUGGAGACUGGAAUCUGGAAGACUGGAGAUUGGAGAUUGGAAUCUGGAAGACUGGAGAUUGGAGACUGAAGAUUGGAGAUUGUUACCCUUGGGGGAUUGCUUCACCAAGCACAAUGCCCUGUCUUGUUGAACAAGUGCUCUGCCUGCCCCUACAUCUCCUCUCUCACAACCAUUCAGGGCCCCAGAGAGUCCUUCCAGGUGAGGCGACACUUCAGUUGUGAGUCUUCUGGGGUCUUCUACUGUUUCUGGUGCUCCCAGUGUGGCCUCCUGUAUAUCAGUGAGAGAUGAGAUAGAUUGCAAGACUGCUUCACCAAACACCUACACUUCAUCCUCCAGAAAAAAGCAGGAUCUCCUGGUAGCCACCCAUUUCAAUUGUACUUCCAUUUCCCAUUCCAUGUCAGUCCAUGGCUUCCUCUACUGCCACUGAGGCCACAUAGACUUGAUGGGCCGAAUGGCCUACUGCUGUUCCUACUGUAUGUCAUAUGUCAUUCAGGUUGGAGAAACAACACCCAAUAUUCCAUCCAACCUGAUGGCAUGAACAUCGAUUUCUCAAACUUCUGGUAUAUACUUCCUCCCCCGUCUCCUUUAACAUUCCUCAUUCCCAUUUCACUCUCUCAUCUUAUCUCCUUACCUGCCCAACACCUUCCUUGGCUGCUUUUGUCCCUUCCCUUUCUCCCAUGGUCUUCCAAUCAGAUCCGCCCUUCUUCAACUUCACAGCUCUUUACCUCUUCCCUCCCCCUCCCAAUUUCACCUGUCACCUACCACCUUGUACUUCCUUCCCUCCCCCCAUUAUCUUACUGUGACUUCUCACCUUCUUUUCCAGUCCUGAUGAAAGGUUUCGGCCCGAAACAUUGAUUGUUUAUUCUUUUCCAUAGGUGCUGCCUGGCCUGCUGAGUUCCUGCAGCAUUUUGUGUGUGCUGCUCGGAUUUCCAGCAUCUGCAGAUAUUCUCUUGCUUGUGAUUGGACGUCCUUACGAGCGUUAGUUCUUGGCCAAACAACGCAUUUCCCUGCGUGUGAUAGAUAUAUCUGAAUAAGAAUCUGAACCUACAGCCUCCUAUGUCGCCCAAAACAAACUCACCUCUUUCACAGCUGCUAUGUUCAAAUCUGUGAAUUAUUAGUUCGAAUAGCCUGCUAAAGAUCAGAAUUUGUUCCUUUAUUUGCACGUUUUGUGUUUGAUGUUUUCUUUAACCGGUUUCAUGGUGUUUCUUUGUUUCAUGGCUGCUGUGGGAGGACCAAUCUCAGAGUUGUAUCUGAGAUAGCAAAUGCACUUGAUUUUAGUUUUCACAAUAUUUCUAUAUUUCAGAUGCUUAGUGAAAACACCUCACAUUGAUUUUUUUUGGGGGGCCUCUCUUUGACCUGUUUGCUGUCAGAAAAAAGACAGAUACAUUUACAAAUUUAGAAUGAGAAGUGCUGAGCUGGCCUGACAGUAAUGACAGGUUGAACAAAAAUGCAAUUCCACUGUCUUUUAGUUUGUCUUUAUCCUCAACAUGCAUAUUUCAAACGUUACUAAUAGUGUGCACAUCUUGUCAGUGUUGGAGUGACUCACUGCGGCAUCGUCUACAUUGCAAUUUCUAUGUCACAUUUUGCUAUUAUUAUUUGAUAUAAAGGGAGCAAUGCCAAGAAAUUCAUCCUCAGUUAGUACCAAUAAAUUUGCAUUAUUAUAAUAUCAUCAUAUUAAAUUCUGACUAGAAAAUUUAUGCCAUCUAGAAUGAAUGAAAGACACUCUGUGGCCAGUUUAUUAGGUAUGGUAAUGGGUCCUGGUGUGGUCUUCUGCUGCUGUAGCCCAUCCAUUUCAAGGUUCAACAUAUUGUACACUCAGAGAUAUUCUUCUAUCUACCAUUGUUGUAAUAUGCGUGGUUAUUUGAGUUAUUAUCGCCAUCCUGUCAGUUUGAUUCUGAUCCUGAACCAUCUGGCCAUUCUCCUCUGACCUCUCACAUUAACAAGAUGUUUUCACCCACAGAAAUGCUGCUCACUGGAUUUUUUUUGUUUUUCACACCAUUCUCUGUAAACUCUAGAGACUGUUCUGCAUGAAAAUCCCGGGAGAUCAGCAGUUUCUGAGAUACUCAAACCACCCCGUCUGGUACCAACAAUCAUUCCACAGUCAAAGUCACUUAGAUCUCAUUUCUUCCCCAUUCUGAUAUUUAGUCUGAACAACAACUGAGCCUCUUGACCAUGUCUGCAUGUUUUUACAUGUUGUGUUGCUGCAACAUGAUUGGCUGAUUAGAUAGUUAACAAGCAGUUGUACAUUUGUACCUAAUAAAGUGGCCACUGAGUGUCCAUUUCAGAGAGUAUAAUGCACUGGCACUAUCUCAUAAAGCAUUAGUCGCCACUAAAUAGGGACAAAAUUUUGGCUAUUUAAUCUAUGGUUCACUUGAACAAUGCCAUAGAAUGCCAUAACAAUGCUGGCUCUUUUACACAAGUAUCAUAUACUAUCAAAGACGCUCAUCAUCCAUGUACUCUAUUCUCGCUACUACAAUUGAGCAGAAGGUACAGAAGCUUCAGGUCACACACCAGGUUCAGGAACAGUUAUUACCUUCAACCAUCUAGUUUCUGAACUGGCAUGAAUAACUUCAAUCACCACACCUCUGAACCGAUUCUACAACCUUUGGACUCACUUCAAAAAAGCUCUUUAACCUCAUGUUCUUAGAAUUUUACUGUUAUUUGCACAGUUUGUCUUCCACUACAGAUCGGCUGUUUUUCAGUCAUUUUCGUACGGCUUUUCAUAGAUUCUACUGCAUUUCUUUAUAUUUCCUGAAAAUGAUGGCAAGAAAAUGAAUCUCAAGGUAGUACCUGGUAACAUGCAAGUGCUUUGAUAAUAAAUUUACUUUGAACUUUGAUACUAGAACACAGAAUAGUACAGCACAUUACAGCCCCUUCGGCCCACAAUGUUGUGCCGACCCUCAAACCCUGCCUCCCAUAUAACCCCCCACCUUAAAUUCCUCCAUAUACCUGUCUAGUGGUCUCUUAAACUUCACUAGUGUAGUUCACCCUUGCUUCCUAAACCUCACGUGUGCUGCCCUAUAUUGUAUACUGUUAUAUUUUUCAUAUCCCUGCAUUAACAAUAUUUAAAAGACAUUUGGAUAGGCACAUGGAUGGGAAAGGAUUUGGAACUUGAAUUGGAAUUGCAAUCAAAAUGUGCUUAUUAUUGUCACGUGUUCCAAUAUACAAGGUAGAAUAAAGUGUAUUAACUACAGAGAAAGUGUAGUGCACAUACACAAUAAAUGUUCAAAGUAAAUUUAUUAUCAAAGUAAAUAUAUGUCACCACACACUACCCUGAGAUUCAUUUCUGUGGGCAUUCACAAUAAAUACAAAGAAACACAAUAAAGUCAAUGAAAGCACACACAACAAAUACAAACAACCAAAGUACAAAAGAAUACAAGCUGCAAGUACAAAAAGGAAAAAAGUAGCAACAAAUGCAAUAAAUAAUUAAGUAAUAAAUUUCAAGAACAUGAGAUGCAGAAUUCUUAAAACUGAGUUCAUACAUUGUGCAUCGGUUGUGAAAUCAGUACAGUGCUGGGGUGAGUGAAAUUGAGUGAAGAUACCCCUUCUGGUUCAGGAGGGGGUAAUAACUGUUCCCGACCCUGAUGGUGUGGAACUUUAGGCUCCUGUACCUCCUUUCUGGUGGCAGCAAAGAGGAGAAAGCAUGAUGUGGAUGGCAGUGAUCCUUGCUGAAGGUGCAAGGUCACAACAAAGUAGAUUGUAAAUUCAAGAAUCCAUUUUAUACUUCUGAACCAGAAUCAGAAUUUAAAAUCUGGUUUAUUAUCACUGACAUAUGUCAUGAAAUUUGAUUAUUUGACCAUUCAUUUGUCUUGAAACAGGGACCAAAUAAGGUUCAAAUAGGAGUGGCUUAUAUGGCAUCUGGUAUAGCAUGGAUGAGAUGGGGCUGUUCCCAUUCUGUAUUACUCUAUGACGCUAUAACUUUCUUGAUGGAGCAUUGAGCCACUACAAAGUUCAAAAUUCAAAAUAAAUUUAUUAACAAAGUAGAUAUAUGUCACCAUGACAACCUUGAGAUUUAUUUUUUUCUGGGCAGACUCAAUAAAUCCAUAAUAGAAUAAUAACCAUAAUAGAAUUAGUGACAGAUCACAUGAA
Long non-coding RNA from Hypanus sabinus (Atlantic stingray), 8125 nucleotides. RefSeq lists it as uncharacterized. NCBI's taxonomy places the organism in Eukaryota, Metazoa, Chordata, Chondrichthyes, Myliobatiformes, Dasyatidae. The record is from RefSeq and is a predicted model, not a curated record. The transcript has 3 exons.